GACGAACCGUGCGAACGGUUGUUCGGAUUCACUGGGCUUAAAGGGCGCGUAGGCGGACGGUCAAGUCGGGGGGUGAAAAUCUUUCAGCUUUAACUGGAAAAAGUGGCCUCCGAUACUGAUCGUCUCGAGGGAGGUAGGGGCAUGUGGAACUUCCGGUGGAGCGGUGAAAUGCGUUAGAUAUCGGGAAGGGAACGUCGGGUGGCGAAAAGCGACGUGCUGGACCUCUUCUGACGCUGAGGCGCGAAAGCCGGGGGAGCAAGCGGGG
This 265-nucleotide ribosomal RNA is filed under the name uncultured bacterium. RNAcentral's name for it is "partial 16S ribosomal RNA". It matches the Rfam family "Bacterial small subunit ribosomal RNA", at positions 524 to 777 of the family's 1533-position model. The record is from RNAcentral.